RNAcentral lists this ribosomal RNA (301 nucleotides) under uncultured bacterium. RNAcentral describes it as "partial 16S ribosomal RNA". It matches the Rfam family "Bacterial small subunit ribosomal RNA", at positions 509 to 807 of the family's 1533-position model. The record is from RNAcentral.
CAGUCGCCGCGGUAAUACGAAGGGUGCAAGCGUUAAUCGGAAUUACUGGGCGUAAAGCGUGCGUAGGCGGUGAGUUAAGUCUGCUGUGAAAUCCCCGGGCUCAACCUGGGAAUGGCAAUGGAUACUGGCAAGCUAGAGUGUGUCAGAGGAUGGUGGAAUUUCCGGUGUACCAGUGAAAUGCGUAGAGAUCGGAAGGAACAUCUGUGGCGAAGGCGACUAUCUGGGCCAACACUGACACUGAGGCACGAAAGCGUGGGGAGCAAACAGGAUUAGAUACCCCGGUAGUCCCUGUCUCUUAUAC